Dreissena polymorpha is the source of this 812-nucleotide long non-coding RNA. RefSeq lists it as uncharacterized. Lineage: Eukaryota; Metazoa; Mollusca; Bivalvia; Myida; Dreissenidae. The transcript has 3 exons. The record is from RefSeq and is a predicted model, not a curated record.
AUGUUUUCCUUCGAAAAGGAUGAUACCAUGAUAUGAAUUUCGUGUAUUUGUGCCUUGCAUAUUAAGUCUAAGUUAUAAGAAACAUACAAACAAGUUAACGUAUCUGACGAGUUCUGUGUAUAUUUUAAAAAAAUCGGAUUUUAGGCAAAACUUAAAAAAAAACGUGUUGAUGUUGUAGGUUGAAGCAAUUUGAUGUUUGAGCCAAUGUUCAAAACCUUAACAAAAUGUUAAGGUUUUAGCACGACGCGGACGGCGGACGACGGACGGCGGAAGACGAGCUGGCUAUGACAAUACCUCGGGUUUUCUCCGAAAACGCCGAGCUAAAAAUGGCGAUAUAAAGACUCUCGUCAUUUAUUUCUAAGAACACGUUUAUUUAAGGGCGUAACUAGACACCCUGGAUUUGAAAAGAAGUCGCAAUACCACUCUGGAUUUUGAAGGGAUGUGACAAGAUUUCACUUGAUUGUGAAAAAAUGUUACUAGACCCCUUGAAUUAGAAGAGAAGUCGCAAGACCACCUUGGAUUUGAAGUGGUUUCACUAGAACACCAUGGAUUUUGAAUGAAUGACACUAAACGACCCUGGAUUUUGAAGGGAUGUCACUUGACCACACUGGAUUUUGAAGGAAUAUCAUUUGAACGGAUGUCAGCAACAAUACGCCUUUAUGGCCUGGAGACCAUGUAGUAGUAUUUCAUUUUGAUAUGUAACAUCAGAUAGUGUUAAAUUGGUAUAAUAAGUGUCUGGGGUCACACCUAACAACCUCCGUGUGAGAGGGACAUUCAUAUUCAUACUUUCAUGGCAAUAAAUGUUCAAAUUA